CUUCUGCAUGCCCACACAGAGCAGGCAGGUCCUUGGGGCUGUAGAGGCUGCAGAGGAACCAGCAGCCAGGAAGAAAAGGCUCCUUCUCUGCACUCCUCCCUGCCCUUGGAGAGGUCAGGGUCACAGCCUGAGGGUCGCCCCUCAAGAGAAGAAACUAUGUCAAAUAUGCACAUACAUUCCUGUUGUGUAAUUCUGCUCAUUACGAUGCUUUGUAGAUUACACCUAAGGCCAAGCCCCAAGAACAACAAGGGUUUCAGAGUGGGGUGCAAGGUGCAGAGUGUGGGAGCAUCAGCUUUGGCCCAAAUCCCAAACAUCUUCAGCCUUGAAUUCCUUGUGACUCUGCCUUGGCAACACUGUGUGGCAGGCAGGCAGGAGCACAUUCGCACAUUAGAAAAGCAAUACUUUUUACAAGAAAUUUUAAAAUGCAUUGUCAUUUUGUUUUUAAUCAAAUAUAUACAUAUAUGUCCCACUGAAUAUGCAUGUCUAGAGAGGAUGGCAAGGAAUUAAAUCAUUCUCAAGAGGACCUUCGGGAAAUCACCAUGAAGUCAGGUGAAAAUGAGCAAGUCCCAUUUGGGGCUUGACAGAGAAAUCUUGAAUUCAGACAAGGUGGGAAGAAGCAUAUUGGCAUCAUUGCCAACUAUAACACUCUUGACCAUUUCUGAGUCAUCAAGUGGCUCCAAUCUGCCCCUAGAAAUGGAAUUAAUCAGGAAGUCCUAGUCAAUGAUGUGCAUCACAGAGUGGCAGGGUCCAGUUCUAUCAGCUAUUCCCAGCCCACAGAAGAAACGAAUCCAAGUGAGAUCCUGGAGAUGGAUUAUUGUCAUUCAGAAGCCACCACGUUCAUCCAUAGCCUCACAGUAAUCCCCAGUGCUAUUCCUGUGAGCAAGCAUCUGCUCUGAGGUGUCAGGGCUCCUAGCUGAAGAGCCCUUGAGCCAUAGCUGCAGCAGGAGUGGGUGCACAGGGCAGGGUCCCCCGCACUGACCUCUCUCCACUGGACAAUUCCUUCUUGAGAAUUCCCUGUUCUCUAGCCCCACACAUGCAUGGUACAUAUUCAGUAGCUCACAUAGAUUAUCUAUGAAUUGUUCUUUCUGAACACUUCUUAUGCCAAAAAAAAAAAAAAAAACCCCACAAAUCUCCCCUUUAUAUAAAAAGAAAAGAGACAUCCAGGUUGGUGAGCCUCCUGCUGAAAACGCAAAUCAUGAGUUUUUCUUGUGGCUGGAAUGCUACCUUGCAUGGCACUCAUUGGGUGAGUCACAAAGCUUCCUGGGACCCCGGUUUCAUCAUCUCUAAAAGCAGAAAUCAUCCUACAACCUACCUCCUGGAGGUGCUUACAACAAACUGCUGAUGGAAGUUUUGGAAUCCAGUUUAUAACCCAUAAAGGCUGUCCUCAGAAAUGGUGUGGAAAACUUCUUUAUGCUAUUGUGAUUCAAGAGAUACCAAGUCUCAGAGCAAGAGCAUUCAUGCGUGUUGAUGCUGCUCAGAGGUGAAGAGGUUGGGGCAAAUAAUGAGGUGGAAAAUUGCUUUAAAUGGAUUUAUUUUGACCAUAAAACAUGUUGUUAGAGCAAAAAGCUACAAUUAUACAUUCUCUGUCCCCGUGCUUUGCAAAUUUUAAUGUGCAUAUAAAUCCUCUGGGACCUUGUUAGAAAGAAGUAAGUCUGGGGUGGGGACUGAGAGUCUGCAUUUCUGAUCAGUUUCCAGAGGAUGCUGAGGCUAUUGGGCUACAUCCACAGUUCAGGUAGCAGGGCUCUGUCCUGUCUUUACUGUUUGUAUAUUAAAAGUGCUGCCUCUC
This 1786-nucleotide long non-coding RNA is filed under the name Marmota monax (woodchuck). Lineage: Eukaryota; Metazoa; Chordata; Mammalia; Rodentia; Sciuridae. The record is from RNAcentral.